GCCUGUAGCUCAGCGGUUAGAGCAGAGGACUCAUAAUCCUUUGGUCCUGAGUUCAAAUCUCAGUGGG
RNAcentral lists this transfer RNA (67 nucleotides) under bovine gut metagenome. It matches the Rfam family "tRNA". From Rfam's summary of the family: Transfer RNA (tRNA) molecules are approximately 80 nucleotides in length. Their secondary structure includes four short double-helical elements and three loops (D, anti-codon, and T loops). The record is from RNAcentral.